AAAAAAUUUUUCUUUCUGAUUUUUAUCAUUUACCUUUGAACCGUUCUUUAGAUAGGGAACCUCGUGUAAUCCGAGGACAGUACCCGCUGCUGUAAAGCUUGCCCAACAGGGUUAUCUUCCGUAAGCCACUGCCAAUUAGGUGGGAAGGCGAGAGAUAUAAAAGCUGAGUCAGAAAACCUGCUUGGAACAAAACUUUAUU
This 199-nucleotide non-coding RNA is filed under the name Bacteroidota bacterium. Lineage: Bacteria; Pseudomonadati; Bacteroidota. The record is from RNAcentral.